RNAcentral lists this ribosomal RNA (610 nucleotides) under uncultured Actinomycetes bacterium. RNAcentral's name for it is "bacterial SSU rRNA". It matches the Rfam family "Bacterial small subunit ribosomal RNA", at positions 60 to 666 of the family's 1533-position model. The record is from RNAcentral. Lineage: Bacteria; Bacillati; Actinomycetota; Actinomycetes.
AGUCGAACGCUGAAGGCCCAGCUUGCUGGGUUGGAUGAGUGGCGAACGGGUGAGUAACACGUGAGUAACCUGCCCCCUUCUUUGGGAUAACGGUCGGAAACGGCUGCUAAUACCGGGUAUUCACUGUCCUUCGCAUGGGGGGUGGUGGAAAGGUUUUUUCUGGUGGGGGAUGGGCUCGCGGCCUAUCAGCUUGUUGGUGGGGUGAUGGCUUACCAAGGCUUUGACGGGUAACCGGCCUGAGAGGGUGACCGGUCACAUUGGGACUGAGAUACGGCCCAGACUCCUACGGGAGGCAGCAGUGGGGAAUAUUGCACAAUGGGCGAAAGCCUGAUGCAGCGACGCCGCGUGAGGGAUGACGGCCUUCGGGUUGUAAACCUCUUUCGCUCAUGGUCAAGCCGCAACAGUGGUUGUGGUGAGGGUAGUGGGUAAAGAAGCACCGGCUAACUACGUGCCAGCAGCCGCGGUAAUACGUAGGGUGCGAGCGUUGUCCGGAAUUAUUGGGCGUAAAGGGCUUGUAGGCGGUUUGUCGCGUCUGCCGUGAAAUCCUCUGGCUUAACUGGGGGCGUGCGGUGGGUACGGGCAGGCUUGAGUGCGGUAGGGGAGACUGGAA